This 29-nucleotide non-coding RNA is filed under the name Homo sapiens (human). Lineage: Eukaryota; Metazoa; Chordata; Mammalia; Primates; Hominidae. The record is from RNAcentral.
UAGCUGUGUUUUCAGUGGAGCUCAGGGGA